Nicotiana attenuata is the source of this 1054-nucleotide long non-coding RNA. RefSeq lists it as uncharacterized. The record is from RefSeq and is a predicted model, not a curated record. NCBI's taxonomy places the organism in Eukaryota, Viridiplantae, Streptophyta, Magnoliopsida, Solanales, Solanaceae. The transcript is spliced from 2 exons.
UUGGCAAUUACCAUAAUUAUUGGAUUUAAGCGACUUAAUAGCAGAUAAGUUCUAUUUCACUCCGUCAUUUGCUGGACGUAAUGACUUAAAAAGAGAACAAAUUUAAAUUGGUUCCUUUCUGUGCCCAUUAGGUUACUGUAGAUCGAGUCAUCGUAAAGAAGAAAGGAAACAAUUUAAGCCUUUUAGAUUAAGUUCUUCCUCAGCAGAAAUGGAUACAUAAAGUCCCAAGGAUCGGAAAGGGCCUCAAUCCACAAAAAACUGAGGCAUGCUUCCCCACACUUAAAUAAAAAAAAAAAAACAGGUAUUAAAAGAGCCCAUCAGUUUUGUUCCCUCGCUUGGUGUUGAUUCCUGCUUUCUGCGAAUUGCUCCAUAAACUUUUUCUCUUAUAGUCAUAUCAGGAAAAAGUAAAAGGAUUGGCCAACUUUGCUUUGGCCUACUGUGAGGAAUUCUUUGGUUUAUAUAAUUUGAAAAGCAACAGCCAGUAUGAUUAUCUUUAGUUAGUAUUAAUUUGCUUGUCAUCAAAUUAUCUUGGAUUUUCAAUUUUAAGAUGUAAGCUUUCAAUCUUGGCCAGUGAACUAGCAUGAAAUUAGUUGUUCGCUGUCAAGAUAAGAUUAAUAUAUCUGGUUUUUGUGUAGAAUAAUCACCGAAGGAUGUUUUGUUGCUUUAAUGAUUUUAUGAACAUUGGAAUAACAAGAAUUUCUACAUUAUGGAUUGCUUGGCAUGUAUGACCUGUGGAAAAAGUGCUGAGUUUCAGCAAAUGGCAGAGCAGAAAUAGGUACCUAAAGUGCUAUGAUCAAGUGGGACCUCAAACUUGAAAGGCUUGCCGUGCUCUGGUGACUUCUGUGGAAUGUACCAGGUCCACAACUUCAAUGUUCUUGCUGAGAUAGAAUCUCUACUCUUUUCACUUUUUUCUUAGGACUCUUCAUCCACAAAAGUUAAAAAGCGCUGUGUUGUGUUUUAAACCAUAUGCUUCAAGAUAUUGGUUUGGAUUAGCCUUAGGGUGCAACCUUUGGCAGUUAACUAAUACAAUCUAAAUGAGUGUUUUUUGUUGAAA